AAGUCGUAACAAGGUUUCCGUAGGUGAACCUGCGGAAGGAUCAUUAACACGAUGUCCAAUAGGCGGUUGUAACUCAGCAACCAUAGUUAGUCAUGGGGAGACUUAGAGGCUUUGGAUCGCGUCUCGGUUGCCAAUUGAUAUGACGACUGAGCUGAUCUCGAAAAAUAGUCUGCGAUUUACUGGUUCGGUGGCGGAGACUGAGGCACGAGGAGGAUGGGCCUGCUCGGAGACUCUUUGCUGCUGGAACUGAAACAGGUAAUUGCGGAUCGAGAACUGCCAAAGCGGAAACGCUCUUCCUCUGCAAACAGUCAGGGAGGUAACCAUGCGCCCGGGUAACAGCGCGGCGCCGUGGGCCCCCUUACCAAUCAACCCCCCGUACAACUGUUAACAACGGAUAUCUUGGUUCUC
Molecule: unclassified non-coding RNA, 408 nt
Filed under: fungal sp.
Lineage: Eukaryota; Fungi
Description: partial internal transcribed spacer region
Rfam family: Eukaryotic small subunit ribosomal RNA (bases 1-46)
Source: RNAcentral